CAGUCGAGCGAACAGAUGAGAAGCUUGCUUCUCUGAUGUUAGCGGCGGACGGGUGAGUAACACGUGGGUAACCUACCUAUAAGACUGGGAUAACUCCGGGAAACCGGGGCUAAUACCUGAUAAUAUUUUGAACCGCAUGGUUCAAUAGUGAAAGACGGCUUCGGCUGUCACUUAUAGAUGGACCCGCGCCGUAUUAGCUAGUUGGUAAGGUAAUGGCUUACCAAGGCGACGAUACGUAGCCGACCUGAGAGGGUGAUCGGCCACACUGGAACUGAGACACGGUCCAGACUCCUACGGGAGGCAGCAGUAGGGAAUCUUCCGCAAUGGGCGAAAGCCUGACGGAGCAACGCCGCGGGAGUGAUGAAGGUCUUAGGAUCGUAAAACUCUGUUGUUAGGGAAGAACAAAUUUGUUAGUAACUGAACAAGUCUUGACGGUACCUAACCAGAAAGCCACGGCUAACUACGUGCCAGCAGCCGCGGUAAUACGUAGGUGGCAAGCGUUAUCCGGAAUUAUUGGGCGUAAAGCGCGCGUAGGCGGUUUCUUAAGUCUGAUGUGAAAGUCCACGGCUCAACCGUGGAAGGUCAUUGGAAACUGGGGAACUUGAGUGCAGAAGAGGAGAGUGGAAUUCCAUGUGUAGCGGUGAAAUGCGCAGAGAUAUGGAGGAACACCAGUGGCGAAGGCGGCUCUCUGGUCUGUAACUGACGCUGAUGUGCGAAAGCGUGGGGAUCAAACAGGAUUAGAUACCCUGGUAGUCCACGCCGUAAACGAUGAGUGCUAAGUGUUAGGGGGGUUUCCGCCCCUUAGUGCUGCAGCUAACGCAUUAAGCACUCCGCCCGGGGAGUACGACCGCAAGGUUGAAACUCAAAGGAAUUGACGGGGACCCGCACAAGCGGUGGAGCAGGUGGUUUAAUUCGAAGCAACGCGAAGAACCUUACCAAAUCUUGACAUCCUUUGAUCGCUCUAGAGAUAGAGUUUUCCCCUUCGGGGGACAAAGUGACAGGUGGUGCAGGGUUGUCGUCAGCUCGUGUCGUGAGAUGUUGGGUUAAGUCCCGCAACGAGGGCAACCCUUAAGCUUAGUUGCCAUCAUUAAGUUGGGCACUCUAGG
This 1106-nucleotide ribosomal RNA is filed under the name Mammaliicoccus vitulinus. Its description in RNAcentral is "bacterial SSU rRNA". It matches the Rfam family "Bacterial small subunit ribosomal RNA", at positions 59 to 1144 of the family's 1533-position model. The record is from RNAcentral. Lineage: Bacteria; Bacillati; Bacillota; Bacilli; Caryophanales; Staphylococcaceae.